GAGUUUGAUCAUGGCUCAGAUUGAACGCUGGCGGCAGGCCUAACACAUGCAAGUCGAGCGGUAGAGAGAAGCUUGCUUCUCUUGAGAGCGGCGGACGGGUGAGUAAUGCCUAGGAAUCUGCCUGGUAGUGGGGGAUAACGUUCGGAAACGGACGCUAAUACCGCAUACGUCCUACGGGAGAAAGCAGGGGACCUUCGGGCCUUGCGCUAUCAGAUGAGCCUAGGUCGGAUUAGCUAGUUGGUGGGGUAAUGGCUCACCAAGGCGACGAUCCGUAACUGGUCUGAGAGGAUGAUCAGUCACACUGGAACUGAGACACGGUCCAGACUCCUACGGGAGGCAGCAGUGGGGAAUAUUGGACAAUGGGCGAAAGCCUGAUCCAGCCAUGCCGCGUGUGUGAAGAAGGUCUUCGGAUUGUAAAGCACUUUAAGUUGGGAGGAAGGGCAGUAAAUUAAUACUUUGCUGUUUUGACGUUACCGACAGAAUAAGCACCGGCUAACUCUGUGCCAGCAGCCGCGGUAAUACAGAGGGUGCAAGCGUUAAUCGGAAUUACUGGGCGUAAAGCGCGCGUAGGUGGUUUGUUAAGUUGGAUGUGAAAUCCCCGGGCUCAACCUGGGAACUGCAUUCAAAACUGACGAGCUAGAGUAUGGUAGAGGGUGGUGGAAUUUCCUGU
This 670-nucleotide ribosomal RNA is filed under the name uncultured Pseudomonas sp. RNAcentral's name for it is "bacterial SSU rRNA". It matches the Rfam family "Bacterial small subunit ribosomal RNA", at positions 9 to 674 of the family's 1533-position model. The record is from RNAcentral. Lineage: Bacteria; Pseudomonadati; Pseudomonadota; Gammaproteobacteria; Pseudomonadales; Pseudomonadaceae.